GUAGAAAAGAGAAAUAAGGCUGAUUAUUCUCUGGACUGUAAAGUGAAACAUGCUGAGAUAAGAAAACUACUCAGUGAUGUCAAAUGCAUCUCACAGGUAAAGACAGUGACCUGUGCUGUCUGAGGAGCAUCAGAGUGAAGGACGUCAGAGUGCUGCCAUCUUGUGGUUUAAAUGUGCGCUUACAUAAUCCUAAAUCUUAGCACGGAGCUUCAGAUGUUUGUUUCUGGCCUUCUUCACUGUUUUUUGUAACUAAGAGUAAAUGAGUUAAAAGUUGGGGGCAGGUUUUCUCUCCUCUCUCUGCCAGGUGAAAUUCUUGGUGAGCUGAAUUGUGGAGCUGCUCUGUUUCUGUAAAAAACCAAAGAGAUGUAUCAAAACGUAUCUGCCUGCUCGCCUUCAACCGCAUCAGCCUUCUGGAAAACUCGUGCUCGCCGCUCCUGACCCCCCUCAGUUCUGGAGAAACAGUAAAGUAAGAAUUCAGACUCAGUUAUCAGCAGAGGCGGAGCCAGACAUUUGAAACACCCGGGGCUUAGCCCAAAGAGUAGUAUGCAUGUGGGAUUUUUUUUUUUUUUUUUUUUUUUGGGGGGGGGUGUAGAAAUGACUGAAAGAUUAAUAGGCUCUGUUCAAAAAAGAAUGACUUCAUAUAGGGAAAAAUAUAUAUCACAUGUGCAGGACACCUUAAACUAGUUUUUUAAUUAAGCAGCAAGGCAGAACAAGGUCAGGGCUGUAUCAAGACACGAGGACUAAACCCCAAUUCAACCAGACCCAGAACUGAUCCAGAAUUAAAACAGGACUACAAGAGUUCAAAAUCAGGACUACUGAGGACUUAACCAAGACAGAACCAGAAUCAGAACUAGAUGAUAGCACUAAAAAUCAUCAUAGACCUGCACUACACUUAUUUUUUAAUUCUACCAAAGUCCAAUAUUUAGAUUGAGAAACGUUUAUAUAAUUAUUUAGCCUUGUUGUGCAAACAAGCCUGCAAAACUUAAUAAAUACAGAAUUUGAAAAAUAACAAACCUAAAAAGAAACACUAGGUACGAGAUACAUGAGGACCUGUGAUACGGUGAUACUUUUGGUAAACAACCAUUUGACUAACAGGUGUGUCUCACCUGCUCUUGUUCAUCUGUUCUGUCCUCGUUCUCCAUCUCCCUCUCUGUUCCUCUC
This is a long non-coding RNA of Astatotilapia calliptera (eastern happy), 1161 nucleotides long. NCBI's taxonomy places the organism in Eukaryota, Metazoa, Chordata, Actinopteri, Cichliformes, Cichlidae. The record is from Ensembl.